Molecule: ribosomal RNA, 497 nt
Filed under: uncultured bacterium
Lineage: Bacteria
Description: partial 16S ribosomal RNA
Rfam family: Bacterial small subunit ribosomal RNA
Source: RNAcentral
GAUGAACGCUGGCGGCGUGCCUAAUACAUGCAAGUCGAGCGAACGGACGAGAAGCUUGCUUCUCUGAUGUUAGCGGCGGACGGGUGAGUAACACGUGGAUAACCUACCUAUAAGACUGGGAUAACUUCGGGAAACCGGAGCUAAUACCGGAUAAUAUUUUGAACCGCAUGGUUCAAAAGUGAAAGGCGGUCUUGCUGUCACUUAUAGAUGGAUCCGCGCUGCAUUAGCUAGUUGGUAAGGUAACGGCUUACCAAGGCAACGAUGCAUAGCCGACCUGAGAGGGUGAUCGGCCACACUGGAACUGAGACACGGUCCAGACUCCUACGGGAGGCAGCAGUAGGGAAUCUUCCGCAAUGGGCGAAAGCCUGACGGAGCAACGCCGCGUGAGUGAUGAAGGUCUUCGGAUCGUAAAACUCUGCUAUUAGGGAAGAACAUAUGUGUAAGUAACUGUGCACAUCUUGACGGUACCUAAUCAGAAAGCCACGGCUAACUACGUG